GUGGGGAAUCUUGCGCAAUGGGCGAAAGCCUGACGCAGCCAUGCCGCGUGAAUGAUGAAGGUCUUAGGAUUGUAAAAUUCUUUCACCGGGGACGAUAAUGACGGUACCCGGAGAAGAAGCUCCGGCUAACUUCGUGCCAGCAGCCGCGGUAAUACGAAGGGGGCUAGCGUUGCUCGGAAUUACUGGGCGUAAAGGGCGCGUAGGCGGACAGCUUAGUCAGAGGUGAAAGCCCAGGGCUCAACCUUGGAAUUGCCUUUGAUACUGGCUGUCUUGAGUUUGGGAGAGGUGAGUGGAACUCCGAGUGUAGAGGUGAAAUUCGUAGAUAUUCGGAAGAACACCAGUGGCGAAGGCGACUCACUGGCCCAAUACUGACGCUGAGGCGCGAAAGCGUGGGGUGCAAACAGGAUUAGAUACCCGAGUAGUCC
This 425-nucleotide ribosomal RNA is filed under the name uncultured bacterium. Its description in RNAcentral is "partial 16S ribosomal RNA". It matches the Rfam family "Bacterial small subunit ribosomal RNA", at positions 354 to 796 of the family's 1533-position model. The record is from RNAcentral.